Molecule: long non-coding RNA, 672 nt
Organism: Condylura cristata (star-nosed mole)
Lineage: Eukaryota; Metazoa; Chordata; Mammalia; Eulipotyphla; Talpidae
Exons: 6
Source: RefSeq, a predicted model, not a curated record
CGCGCGCCCUCCGGGCCGAGCCCUGGGCCUGGCCUGCCUGGGAGGAGCAGGAGGCAGAGGUCGUUACACCCGAGGGAAGCCGAGGUGCAGAGAGCACGCGUGCACCGGUGGUGAAGGGUCAGGCUGGAGUUCCAACUCGGGAGUGCCCAGCUCCUGGCAGUCUGAGCCAACACUUGGAACCGAUCAACAGAAAGACGAGAAGUUCAAGCUGCAGCUUGAAGGUGCAAAAAGUACUGAUUAAAAACAUGAUGUGAAGGAACACAGUACAUGAACCAUGGAGCUUUCCAUGACUCUCCAUAGGGACUAAAAUGGUUUCUGACAACAGGGAGAAUCUCACAGGGAAAAUGCCUGCUGCUUCUGAGGAGUUAAGAUUAAAAGCACGCGCUUCAGGAUCUCACCUGUACUUUGCGAACAAAGGAUGGAGUCACUCUUUUCUCGAAGUCAUCUAUAGCCAUUCUUCUAAGUAGCUGAUGUUGCAUCUGGAAUAAAAGCCACCGGUGAGAAGAGCAAAGAAGGAGCAGAGACAAACCACAGAAUUUGAUGAAGGGAAGAGAACUCCUUCACCCAGCACCCUUGCAAUCCCCUACCACCCAUCUGAGCACAUGUCUUUGCGCAAGAAGAGGCUGUUGAGGGUGACCGCCCCGAUCAGGAAGAAGAGCUGCUUCACAGCCU